RNAcentral lists this ribosomal RNA (488 nucleotides) under soil fungal sp. DM2-265. Its description in RNAcentral is "eukaryotic LSU rRNA". It matches the Rfam family "Eukaryotic large subunit ribosomal RNA", at positions 156 to 668 of the family's 3401-position model. The record is from RNAcentral. Lineage: Eukaryota; Fungi.
AGGAUGCUUUUGGCAAGGUGCCUUCCGAGUUCCCUGGAACGGGACGCCAUAGAGGGUGAGAGCCCCGUCUGGUCGGACACCGAGCCUCUGUAAAGCUCCUUCGACGAGUCGAGUAGUUUGGGAAUGCUGCUCAAAAUGGGAGGUAUAUGUCUUCUAAAGCUAAAUACCGGCCAGAGACCGAUAGCGCACAAGUAGAGUGAUCGAAAGAUGAAAAGCACUUUGAAAAGAGAGUUAAAUAGCACGUGAAAUUGUUGAAAGGGAAGCGUUUAUGACCAGACUUGGCCCGGUUGAUCAUCCAGCCUUCUGGCUGGUGCACUCUGCCGGUCCAGGCCAGCAUCAGUUCGUCGCGGGGGAUAAAGGUUUCGGGAAUGUAUCUCCUCCGGGAGUGUUAUAGCCCGUUGCGUAAUACCCUGCGGUGGACUGAGGUCCGCGCUCUGCAAGGAUGCUGGCGUAAUGGUCAUCAACGACCCGUCUUGAAACACGGACCA